CCUACGGGGGGCAGCAGUAGGGAAUCUUCCGCAAUGGACGCAAGUCUGACGGAGCAACGCCGCGUGAGUGAGGAAGGUCUUCGGAUUGUAAAACUCUGUUGCCAGGGACGAAUGGUUAGGAGAGGGAAUGCUCCUAAAGUGACGGUACCUGAGAAGAAAGCCCCGGCUAACUACGUGCCAGCAGCCGCGGUAAUACGUAGGGGGCAAGCGUUGUCCGGAAUUAUUGGGCGUAAAGCGCGCGCAGGCGGUUUUUUAAGUCUGAUGUGAAAAGGCAGGGCUCAACCUUGUUUGGCAUUGGAAACUGGAAGACUGGAGUGCAGAAGAGGAGAGUGGAAUUCCACGUGUAGCGGUGAAAUGCGUAGAGAUGUGGAGGAACACCAGUGGCGAAGGCGACUCUCUGGUCUGUAACUGACGCUGAGGCGCGAAAGCGUGGGGAGCAAACAGGAUUAGAUACCCGUGUAGUC
RNAcentral lists this ribosomal RNA (464 nucleotides) under uncultured Paenibacillus sp. RNAcentral's name for it is "bacterial SSU rRNA". It matches the Rfam family "Bacterial small subunit ribosomal RNA", at positions 338 to 795 of the family's 1533-position model. Lineage: Bacteria; Bacillati; Bacillota; Bacilli; Caryophanales; Paenibacillaceae. The record is from RNAcentral.